UAUUCAGAACUCUUCAUCUCAAGUUCUCAGAAUGAGGCAUUCUCUUCAAUUCUUGGGGCUGCUUUUGUUCUGUAUCUCUGGAGUCAGUGGGGAUGUUGUGAUAACUCAGGAUGAACUCUCCAAUCCUGUCACUUCUGGAGAAUCGGUUUCCAUCUCCUGCAGGUCUAGUAAGAGUCUCCUCUAUAAGGAUGGGAAGACAUACUUGAAUUGGUUUCUGCAGAGACCAGGACAGUCUCCUCAACUCCUGAUCUCUUUAAUGUCCACCCGUGCAUUAGGAGUCUCAGACAGGUUCAGUGGAAGUGGGUCAGGAACAGAUUUCACUCUGAAAAUCAGUAGAGUGGAGGCUGAGGAUGUGGGUGUGUAUUACUGUCAACAAAUUCUAGAGUAUCCUCCACAUUGA
Mus pahari (shrew mouse) is the source of this 400-nucleotide non-coding RNA. NCBI's taxonomy places the organism in Eukaryota, Metazoa, Chordata, Mammalia, Rodentia, Muridae. The record is from the annotation of a RefSeq genome assembly.